RNAcentral lists this ribosomal RNA (492 nucleotides) under uncultured bacterium. RNAcentral describes it as "partial 16S ribosomal RNA". It matches the Rfam family "Bacterial small subunit ribosomal RNA", at positions 29 to 507 of the family's 1533-position model. The record is from RNAcentral.
AGUGAACGCUGGCGGUAGGCCUAACACAUGCAAGUCGAACGGCAGCACAGUAAGAGCUUGCUCUUACGGGUGGCGAGUGGCGGACGGGUGAGGAAUACAUCGGAAUCUACUUUUUCGUGGGGGAUAACGUAGGGAAACUUACGCUAAUACCGCAUACGACCUACGGGUGAAAGCAGUGGAUCUUCGGACCUUGCGCGAUUGAAUGAGCCGAUGUCGGAUUAGCUAGUUGGCGGGGUAAAGGCCCACCAAGGCGACGAUCCGUAGCUGGUCUGAGAGGAUGAUCAGCCACACUGGAACUGAGACACGGUCCAGACUCCUACGGGAGGCAGCAGUGGGGAAUAUUGGACAAUGGGCGCAAGCCUGAUGCAGCCAUACCGCGUGAGUGAAGAAGGCCUUCGGGUUGUAAAGCCCUUUUGUUGGGAAAGAAAAGCAGCAGGUUAAUACCCCGCUGUUCUGACGGUACCCAAAGAAUAAGCACCGGCUAACUUCGUG